ACGGGAGGCAGCAGUAGGGAAUAUUGUACAAUGGGGGGAACCCUGAUGCAGCAACGCCACGUGUGGGAAGAAGCAUUUCGGUGUGUAAACCACUGUCGUGAGGGAAUAAUGCUUGAGUUCGGUCAAGUUGAAUGUACCUCGAAAGGAAGCACCGGCAAACUUCGUGCAAGCAGCCGCGGUAAUACGAGGGGUGCAAGCGUUGGUCGGAAUCACUGGGCGUAAAGGGAGCGUAGGCGGAGACGCAAGCAGUCUGUACAAUACCGGGGCCCAACCCCGGACCUGCAGCCCGGACUGUGUCUCUUGGAUAGUUCAGGGGCAGGCGGAAUUCCUGGUGUAGCGGUGGAAUGCGUAGAGAUCAGGAAGAACACCGAUGGCGAAGGCAGCCUGCUGGGGACUCAUCGACGCUGAGACGCGAAAGCGUGGGGAGCGAACAGGAUUGGAUACCCUGGUA
This 451-nucleotide ribosomal RNA is filed under the name uncultured Fibrobacter sp. Its description in RNAcentral is "bacterial SSU rRNA". It matches the Rfam family "Bacterial small subunit ribosomal RNA", at positions 341 to 792 of the family's 1533-position model. Lineage: Bacteria; Pseudomonadati; Fibrobacterota; Fibrobacteria; Fibrobacterales; Fibrobacteraceae. The record is from RNAcentral.